AUUAUUUUUGAACCUGCAAUAAUUCCUUUAAAAACAAAACAUUCUACUACACGCAUGAUUUCUUCUUCACCAACAUAUGGUAUUGGUAAAUAUUAACCUGUUAUGUCAGAUCAAAAAGACUGAUUCUGAUUCAAUUAAGAUUUUAAUGUAAAAACUACAAUAUAUCUGUAAUUGCACAAGAGGAUCACAUACUUUCAAGUAGUACUGUAAUUCGUUUAUUGUCUUUAGCGGAGAGCCUCUGCUGCUGAGCAUGCUCUGGCCAUGGAGAAGAAUGAGGCAGCGCUACUCCGCCAGAGGAUUUUUCAACUAACCUCAAAGAAGCUGAAAAUAGGAAAGCCUGGGUUCCUGAUCAAGACCACCCCCAAGCCCCCGAAAACAACCAAGACCAACAAACCCUUCUUGAAGACCUGCAAAUUUCUGAAAGCUUUCAAAGCACUAAUGAAGAUAUGAAGGCAAUGCAUACAAUUGUACAUUUUGUGCAAUUAUUCUCAGGACACGGGGUUAAGCAGAGUACAAUAAAUAAAUCCAGAUGCCUUAUUCCAUCAAACAACUGCAACACGUGUUUUAUGUCAUUUAUAUGGUAGGUCUCAUUAGAUAUCAUCCAACUCUUUAAAAAUGCCUUUGUAUGCAGAUUUCUGCUCUGUUGCCAUUAGGUAAGAUACAACUCCAUGGGGCUUACCUGCCAAGACCUCCAUGGAAGCCACAUAUCCCAUCAAUUACCAAAGCCAAAUGGUAGGCCUAUGAUGAAGUCUAUUUUCUAGGUCUCCAGGGCUAUUUUGGCGACGGGAAACCCCCACCUGAAGGUCGAUUUGUCCUCACUUUGCAACCCAGACUCUCUUUAGGGACCUGAGCUGUUCAAGAAACCUAGACAUCUUAACAGCUGUAGAUGGUUCACUUGAGUGCUUUGCGCUGAAGCACGAAAAUGACGAGUGGAAGAAUAGAUGUCCAUUGGAUAGCCGUGAACAUAUUGACAUCGUGUUUUCACAAAGACUUAGGUCAUGGGGCGGCAGGGUAGCCUAGUGGUUAGAGCAUUGGACUAGGAACCAGAAGGUUGCAAGUUCAAAACCCCGAGCUGACAAGGUACUGUCCCUGAGCAGGCAGAUAACCCACUGUUCCUAGGCCGUCAUUGAAAAUAAGAAUUUGUUCUUAACAGACUUGCCUGGUUAAAUAAAGGUUAAAAAAAUGAUUUGGACUUGUCAAAUUUGAAGGCCUAAUGCCAUUUUUGGGUUUCUGUUUCCUUCCUGAUAGCCAGCUAACAUGAUCAUUUAUGCAAAGUAGGGCUUGUAUUGCUAAAUAGUUCAAUGCAAAAAAUACCAGAAAGGCAUAUUGAUCAUAUCCGACGAUGGCUUGUAUUCAAUGUGGAUAUACAGUAUAGUGCCCAACAAUGUUGCAACCAUGCUACAGGCGUUGUGUAGCCUGUUAUGAUAAUGCUGCCUAUAGAAGAAAAAAAAACAAAACAUUAAUGACUGACUAGCACUAGCCUAUUCCACCACAAUAGGUCGCUGUGUUACCAUUUUUCCUCCCUUCCUUUCCCUCCCUCCCCUCCAACCAUGGUCCUGCGUAGACUGCUGAUGAGUUAAUGCCAUUCUGGAGGUUAUUCUCCUAGAUUUCUCUCCUUGGUCUGGUCUAGACCUGUGGCAGAGGUCAAAUUGUAGACGUAAUGGUCACUGUCAUUGCAGGCCUAUUAGAAUUGUGCUUUAUGACCAAUUUGAACAUUUCGUAGACUUGCAUUCAGCAACAGAUAAUCAUCAAUAGUGGGGUUGAAGAGUACUGUUUGGGAAAGCCCAUCCUAUGUUAAUAGUUUAAAAAGGCUUCUUGUAGACCAGGGUUGGCCGCAUGUGGUCUCGUUGGGCAGGGGGCUUGCCUUGGAGGAGAUUGGCCAUUAGUUCCGCUUCCUUUGACUCUGUAGCGCACGGGAAUUAGUAGAAUCUCGCUGAAUAGGCAUCUGUAGCCUACGCAAGCAGGGCUGCUGUGUAGUACUAGUAGGCGCAGCAGCGAGACAAGCAGGCGAGCAGAGCCGUCGCUGGCGUAUACAGUGAAUUUACAAUAGACGAACGCGUUGAACAGCGGCACUUGAACCAGAGGA
Molecule: long non-coding RNA, 2086 nt
Filed under: Oncorhynchus mykiss (rainbow trout)
Lineage: Eukaryota; Metazoa; Chordata; Actinopteri; Salmoniformes; Salmonidae
Description: lncRNA (ENSOMYG00000063468.1)
Source: RNAcentral